Molecule: ribosomal RNA, 300 nt
Filed under: uncultured Nitzschia
Lineage: Eukaryota; Bacillariophyta; Bacillariophyceae; Bacillariales; Bacillariaceae
Description: partial Bacterial large subunit ribosomal RNA
Rfam family: Bacterial large subunit ribosomal RNA
Source: RNAcentral
ACUGAUACUCCCCUAGUAGCGGAGAGCGAACGGGGACCAGCCGAGCCUUGAGCGUGACUAGAAUGUGCUGGAAAGCACAGCCAUAGCGGGUGACAGCCCCGUAUAGGAAGCGUGAUGGGACGUAUUAAGUAGGGCGGGACACGUGAAAUCCUGUCUGAAGAUCGGAGGACCACCUUCGAAGGCUAAGUACUCCUUACUGACCGAUAGUGAACCAGUACCGUGAGGGAAAGGUGAAAAGCACCCCGACGAGGGGAGUGAAACAGUACCUGAAACCGAACGCCUACAAUCAGUCGGAGCCCC